GACGAACCGAGCGAACGUUGUUCGGAAUCACUGGGCUUAAAGGGCGCGUAGGCGGGCAUUCAAGUCUGUGGUGAAAUCCUCCAGCUCAACUGGAGAACUGCCAUGGAUACUGGGUGUCUCGAGGGUGGUAGGGGUAUGCGGAACUAUCGGUGGAGCGGUGAAAUGCGUUGAUAUCGAUAGGAACUCCGGUGGCGAAGGCGGCAUACUGGACCACAUCUGACGCUGAGGCGCGAAAGCCAGGGGAGCGAACGGG
Molecule: ribosomal RNA, 253 nt
Filed under: uncultured bacterium
Lineage: Bacteria
Description: partial 16S ribosomal RNA
Rfam family: Bacterial small subunit ribosomal RNA
Source: RNAcentral